UCCCCCGUCGUCUAGUGGCCCAGGACGCCGCCCUUUGAAGGCGGUCACGGAGGUUCGAAUCUUCCCGGGGGAG
This 73-nucleotide transfer RNA is filed under the name Quadrisphaera oryzae. RNAcentral describes it as "tRNA-Gln". It matches the Rfam family "tRNA". Rfam says of the family: Transfer RNA (tRNA) molecules are approximately 80 nucleotides in length. Their secondary structure includes four short double-helical elements and three loops (D, anti-codon, and T loops). The record is from RNAcentral. Lineage: Bacteria; Bacillati; Actinomycetota; Actinomycetes; Kineosporiales; Kineosporiaceae.